Molecule: non-coding RNA, 169 nt
Organism: Lonchura striata (white-rumped munia)
Lineage: Eukaryota; Metazoa; Chordata; Aves; Passeriformes; Estrildidae
Source: RefSeq, a predicted model, not a curated record
GCUGAGGCGAAUGCUGCUGGCCUGGGCAGGGCUGAGUGCUGUGAACUUGACAAGCCAAAGGAAGACCUUAGAAAACAACUCAAGGAAGCUACAAAGGCUAUUGAGAAAGCAAAGAAGCCAGCUAGACCGGUUAGUGUCAAACACAACAUUUUCUAAUAGCUGUGGUGGG